RNAcentral lists this ribosomal RNA (294 nucleotides) under Triticum aestivum (bread wheat). RNAcentral describes it as "partial small subunit ribosomal RNA". The record is from RNAcentral. Lineage: Eukaryota; Viridiplantae; Streptophyta; Magnoliopsida; Poales; Poaceae.
CUAGGUUCACUAGGAUUCUUAUCGGUUGGGAUUUCCAGUUAUCUUGGUAAGAAUAUUAUAUCUAUACUUCUAUCUCAAAAAAUUUUUUUUCCGCAGGGGGUCGUGAUGUCUUUCUACGGAAUCGCAGGCCUAUUCAUUAGCUUCUACUUGUGGUGUACUAUUUUGUGGAAUGUAGGUAGUGGUUAUGACCGAUUCGAUAGAAAAGAGGGAAUAGUGUGCAUUUUUCGUUGGGGAUUCCCUGGAAUAAAACGUCGCGUCUUCCUUCGAUUCCUUAUGCUUUCGUGGACUAUCUAG